UACGUAGGGUGCGAGCGUUAAUCGGAAUUACUGGGCGUAAAGCGUGCGCAGGCGGUGAUGUAAGACAGUUGUGAAAUCCCCGGGCUCAACCUGGGAACUGCAUCUGUGACUGCAUCGCUGGAGUGCGGCAGAGGGGGAUGGAAUUCCGCGUGUAGCAGUGAAAUGCGUAGAUAUCAGGAGGAAUACCGAUGGCGAAGGCAGCCCCCUGGGUCGAUACUGACGCUCAUGCACGAAAGCGUGGGGAGCAAACAGG
RNAcentral lists this ribosomal RNA (253 nucleotides) under uncultured bacterium. Its description in RNAcentral is "partial 16S ribosomal RNA". It matches the Rfam family "Bacterial small subunit ribosomal RNA", at positions 524 to 776 of the family's 1533-position model. The record is from RNAcentral.